ACGCUGGCGGCGUGGAUUAGGCAUGCAAGUCGAACGGUAUCAUCCUUUCGGGGGUGAGAGAGUGGCGAACUGGUGAAGUAACACGUAGGUUAUCUACCCUCAAGACGGGGACAACCCAGGGAAACUUGGGCUAAUACCGGAUGUGAGCAACUUUUAGUUGUUUGAAAGGUGGCGUAAGCUGUCGCUUGGGGAUGAGCCUGCGUCCUAUUAGUUAGUUGGUGAGGUAACGGCUCACCUAGGCAAUGAUAGGUAGGCGGCCUUAACGGGUGGUCGCCCACACUGGGAUUGAGAUACGGCCCAGACUCCUACGGGAGGCAGCAGUCGAGAAUAGUCUACAAUGGUCGGAAGACUGAUAGUGCGACGCCGCGUGAACGAUGAAUCCCUUCGGGGUGUAAAGUUCUUUUAUAUGUGAGCAGUGCUUCUUAUAUUAACAGUAUGGGGAGAGAGAUAUUAGCAUAUGAAUAAGCAACGGCUAACUCCGUG
Molecule: ribosomal RNA, 483 nt
Filed under: uncultured bacterium
Lineage: Bacteria
Description: bacterial SSU rRNA
Rfam family: Bacterial small subunit ribosomal RNA
Source: RNAcentral